CAGUCGCCGCGGUAAUACAGAGGAUGCAAGCGUUGUCCGGAAUUAUUGGGCGUAAAGGGCUCGCAGGCGGUUUCUUAAGUCUGAUGUGAAAGCCCCCGGCUCAACCGGGGAGGGUCAUUGGAAACUGGGAAACUUGAGUGCAGAAGAGGAGAGUGGAAUUCCACGUGUAGCGGUGAAAUGCGUAGAGAUGUGGAGGAACACCAGUGGCGAAGGCGACUCUCUGGUCUGUAACUGACGCUGAGGAGCGAAAGCGUGGGGAGCGAACAGGAUUAGAUACCCCAGUAGUCCCUGUCUCUUAUAA
Molecule: ribosomal RNA, 301 nt
Filed under: uncultured bacterium
Lineage: Bacteria
Description: partial 16S ribosomal RNA
Rfam family: Bacterial small subunit ribosomal RNA
Source: RNAcentral